AAAAAGACAAACCCUGGGUUUCCGUGUCCAACGUUUGACUGUCCGUUUUAUAUGAAAUUUUUUUAUAAUCAGUAUUUUUAUUGCUGUUAUAUGAUAAAACAUGAUUAAUACUUUAUGCGUGACUUAUCUUUUUAAUUUUUUUUCAUAAUUUUUUCAAAUAAGAUGGACGGUCAAACGUUGGACACGGAAACCCAGGGUUUGUCUUUUU
Molecule: microRNA precursor, 208 nt
Filed under: Oryza glumipatula
Lineage: Eukaryota; Viridiplantae; Streptophyta; Magnoliopsida; Poales; Poaceae
Description: MIR812 microRNA precursor family
Rfam family: MIR812 microRNA precursor family
Source: Rfam by way of RNAcentral